Long non-coding RNA from Daktulosphaira vitifoliae (grape phylloxera), 888 nucleotides. RefSeq lists it as uncharacterized. The record is from RefSeq and is a predicted model, not a curated record. The transcript has 6 exons. Lineage: Eukaryota; Metazoa; Arthropoda; Insecta; Hemiptera; Phylloxeridae.
AAAAUAUUGAACGUAAAAUUAUAAAGCUAAAAUUUAAAUAUAUUUUUUUAAAUUGUUGUUUUCUUAAGUGGAAAUAUCUUUGCAAUGUAUUUAAAAACUAUACUAAUCUUUUGUUCAUUAUGUUUCUUUACCGACACAAUGAGCGAAGGACUUGAUUCACUACAAAUACAAACUUUCCAAUUAUUAACACGAAAUUUUAAUGACAAAGAAACAAUAGAAAAAGUUUUUAAGUAUUUUAAUAUCGAUAAAAAGUAUGAAUAUAACUCUGAAGAUAGUACAUACGUAAGAGCUUCCAAGAUGCUAAAUUUUGUGGCUGAAGUUAACAAGUUAGACACGAACGCUAUAUUUGGAAGACUGGAUACAAGUAUAGUUGAAGAUAUCUCAAAUAAGUUCAGUGAACUUGACUCGAACAAUGAUGGUAUUAUACAUGGUAGUGAUUAUUAAAAUGAUUAAAGAAUACGAACACUUAGUUCAUAACAAUACACAGAUUGAUGCUUGGAAGAAAAAAGUUAACUCUGACUAUCUUUACGAGUUAGGCGAUGUACUGCUCGAAUUAUUACGAUUCAGGUCAAAGUAUUAUGGUAAUUUUUUUUUCAAAAUUGAUUGGAUAUGCAUUAACAUGUUUAUUGAAAAUAUCAAAAAAGGUUAUAGUCCAAAGGAGAUAUACGUACAAGAUAUGAUGAAGGUUAUUCAUUAUCAUUUUAGAACUUUUGAUGACUUUCCUUUUUUUUCGUACCCUCAUUACGAUUAAUAAACUAUUUCAUCUGUUUCUUAGUAUAUGUUUAAAAUAAUCCACUAAUGUUGUUAUAUUUUUUAAUGUACAUUACAAUUUACAUGUCAUGUAAUCAAAAUUUAAUUUUAAGUGUAAAAUAAAAUUCUAGAAAUAUA